Rosa rugosa (rugosa rose) is the source of this 1030-nucleotide long non-coding RNA. RefSeq lists it as uncharacterized. The record is from RefSeq and is a predicted model, not a curated record. Lineage: Eukaryota; Viridiplantae; Streptophyta; Magnoliopsida; Rosales; Rosaceae. The transcript is spliced from 2 exons.
ACCUCGAUUGGUCAAACAUGGUCAAAUGGUCAAGUGUGGUCAACCCUUGGUCAACUCCUGGUCAAACCAGGAAAAGUUGGGGUUGGACGAUAUAUUAAUCGUCGAGAUUUCGUUUAACUGUUCAAAAGUUAUUAACUAUCGAAAUGCCGGAAUCUAGGACUCCAGUUACCCGAGGAACAGAAGGUUCGCAACUCUCGGAGUACGUGAGAGAACGCAUCGGAAUCCAGGUAGGGAUUCAGGACUCUCCUCGGUUGGUGAUUUUCUUUUAUAUUUUAUUAAUGUGAUGCAUGAUAAGUGGUAUGGGUUGGUUAUGUAAAAUGCAAUGCAUACUAACCAAUCCGUGAGAAAAUGUGUGAUGGCUUGAGAGCGAAGGGUGGCUCUGACUUCCUUGGGUUCGAUCCCCUUAACCUCCGGAGGGUUAGUUACGCCGGUCGUCCGGGUAUUCCGAUUGUAAUGACGGGCCCGGUACGUGUGUGUAGCUAGGUAGUGGACGCUCUCGCUACGCUUACCUGGUGAUAAAUUAAUUUGAGGUAAGGUCGUGUAGUGGGUCUAUGGGACCGGCCAUCAGUAUGGAUGCAGGUACUGUGCACUGGUGACGGGACAAUGGCGGACGGAGCUGGGUGUGCGGAACAAGUUUGGUAAACCGCCUUCUGGGCUUUAUACUGCUUUCUAUUUCUCGAACUUUGUGUCCCGGAAUUCUUGGGUCAAACGUGGUUAAAUUCCUAGUCCUUAAAUCUUGUGCCUCCUGAGUGAGCAUUCAUUUCAAGUCUGGACGAACAAAAUGAUUUUUGGGCAACUCAAAGAUUUUCACCUCAAAAAUAUUUGUAGCUUUCGCUGUGUUUUACGAAAAGUUUUCAAACAAAAUGCCUAGCGGUUCUCUAGAAUUUAAAUCGAGCGUUUGGUUUAUGUUUUAGAGGCUCGCGGCACUGUGACGUGCUUAAGCUGGUGAGGUGCAGCUUGGGGCGUUACAGAAAGUGGUAUCAGAGCAAUGCUUCUGAGUUUUCGAUUUCAACGAUUUAAAAACCUCUGA